This 1598-nucleotide long non-coding RNA is filed under the name Mus musculus (house mouse). Its description in RNAcentral is "long non-coding RNA chr2:121876145-121877743". Lineage: Eukaryota; Metazoa; Chordata; Mammalia; Rodentia; Muridae. The record is from RNAcentral.
AUCUUAUAUGUUGCUGUCAGAAACAGUUUCUUAACUACUUUUUUCUUUUAGAUUUAUUUUUUUAUUUUUAUUUAUUUAUUUUAUGUCUGUGAGUACACUAUAGCUGUACAGAUGGUUGUGAGCCACCAUGUAGUUGCUGGGAUUUGAACUUAGGACCUUCGGAAGAACAGUCAGUGCUCUUAACCACUGAGCCAUCUCUGUAGCCUCUUAGAUUUAUUUUUAUGUGCAUGAAUAUUUUGCCUGUAUGUAUAUAUGUGUGCUGUGUUUGUGCCUGGUGCCUGCAGAGGUCAGAAGAGUGUAAUGGAUCCCCUGGAGUUGGAGUUACUAAUGAUUGUGAGCUACCAUGUUGGGUUCUGGGUUCUCUACAAGAGUAGCUAGUGCUCUUAACCACUGAGCCAUCUCAUCUGUCUUGCCUCAGGGACUUGUUUUAUAAACAAGAAAUAAAGUCUUACAUUGAUAAGAUGCUUUAUGAUGUUUAAAUGUGUCCCAGAAAUCCAGAGGCAGAGGCAGGCAGAUCUCUUGAGUUUGAGGCUAGCCUGGUCUACAAAAUGAGUUCCAGGGCAUCUAGGGCUACUGUUGUUGGGCCACCAGAGAAGACUACUCUGACACAUGUUUAAGCCGAUAGAAAGUCUUUAUUAGUGGGACAGUGACUAAACUGAGUGGUUGGGAUCCCAGUGUAGCCUGAGCCUUUCUCAGAGAGGGCUUUUAAGUACAGAAGCCAUGUUCUGGGUUAACAUACUUCAGUUAACAAGAACAGUUAGCUAGAAGCAGAACCACAAAAACCCAAAAGCAAGGCUUCUACAUUUAGAGACUUUCCCAUGACUAUGUACUUUUUUUUUUAGAUUUAUUUAUUUAUUUAUGAAUAUUUUUUAUUAAAAUAAGACCCCAUGUUCACUAACUCACAAGAAAAACACAAUUUAAAAUCUUACAGCCUCAAAGUACACAAAGCAUAAUCUAAAAAAUAAAAAAUUCCAUUUACAGUAAUUCUUAUUCCAAUAAUUAAUAGACAAAAGGUUAAAAAAUUUACUAAGGGUCUUAAGAUUUAGGCAGCAUGUGGUAUCUUGAUCACAAUAUCUAGAGAAUAAGUAGGUUUCAUUAGCAUAGACUUAUCAAACUUGAUGCAUGUAUUAGACCAUUUUCAACCUGUGGGUUGUGACCCCUUUGGGGAUUGAAUAGCCCUUUCAAGAGGAACUGUAUUAAAGGGUUACAGCAUUAGGAAGGUUGAGAAUCACUGUAUUUGGCUAACCUACAUACAAGGUCAGAUAUUUGGAAAUGGAAUAUAAUGCUACUUAGUAAUUCAUAUAACACAGGAGAAAUCAGGAUGGAGGUUUGAAUACAUGUAAAACUUAGUAAAUAAAAUACUCAUCAGAAAAUGUGGGAUACAUUUAAAACAAUAAUUUGAGGUAUUUAUGACCAUACAUACUUUCUUUAGAAAAAAAAAAAAUGCUUAAAGCCAGGCAGUGGUGGCGCACGUCUUUAAUCCCAGCACUUGGGAGGCAGAGGCAGGUAGGUGGAUUUCUGAGUUCGAGGCCAGCCUGGUCUACAGAGUAAGUUCCAGGACAGCCAGAGCUAUACAGAGAAACCCGAUCUCGAAAGAC